UCCGGCUUGACGCCGGCAGUCCCCCGAGAGUCCUCAGCAUUACCUGUUAGUAACACGGGGCAAGGGUUGCGCUCGUUGCGGGACUUAACCCAACAUCUCACAACACGAGCUGACGACAGCCAUGCAGCACCUCUGUACAGACCUCCGAAGAGGGGGACUCAUCUCUGAGCCUUUCCUGUACAGUUCAAACCCAGGUAAGGUUCUGCGCGUUGCUUCGAAUUAAGCAACAUGCUCCGCCGCUUGUGCGGGCCCCCGUCAAUUCCCUUGAGUUUUAGCCUUGCGGCCGUACUCCCCAGGCGGGGCACUUAAUGCGUUAGCUACGGCACGGAACCCGUUGAUAAGGCCCCACACCUAGUGCCCAACGUUUACGGCGUGGACUAC
This 381-nucleotide unclassified non-coding RNA is filed under the name uncultured bacterium. RNAcentral's name for it is "contains 16S-23S intergenic spacer region". The record is from RNAcentral.